Molecule: ribosomal RNA, 727 nt
Filed under: uncultured eukaryote
Lineage: Eukaryota
Description: bacterial SSU rRNA
Rfam family: Eukaryotic small subunit ribosomal RNA
Source: RNAcentral
CGCGUGUACUGGUCCGGCCGGGCCUUUCCCUCUGUGGAACCCCAUGCCCUUCACUGGGUGUGGCGGGGAAACAAGACUUUUACUGUGAAAAAAUUGGAGUGCUCCAGGCAGGCCUAUGCUCCAAUACAUUAGCAUGGAAUAAUAGAAUAGGACGUGUGGUUCUCUUUUGUUGGUUUCUAGAGACCGCCGUAAUGAUUGAUAGGGACAGUCGGGGGCAUCAUCAUUCUGUUGUCAUAGGUGAAAUUCUUGGAUUUAUUGAAGACAAACUACUGCGAAAGCAUUUGCCAAGGAUGUUUUCAUUAAUCAGGAACGAAAGUUAGGGGAUCGAAGAAGAUCAGCACCGUUGUAGUCUUAACCAUAAACUAUGCGGACUAGGGAUGUGGUGGUGUUAUAUUUUGACCCGUUCGGCACCUUAGGAGAAAUCAAAGUGCUUGGGCUCCAGGGGGAGUAUGGUCGCAAGGCUGAAACUUAAAGAAAUUGGAAGAAGGGCACCACCAGGGGUGGAGCCUGCGGCUUAAUUUGACUCAACACGGGGAAACUCACCAGGUCCAGACACAAUGAGGAUUGACAGAGAAGAGCUCUUUCUUGAUUUUGUGGGUGGUGGUGCAUGGCCGUUAGUAGUUGGUGGAGUGAGUUGUGUGCUUAAUUGCGAUAACGAACGAGACAGCCACCUGCUAAAUAGCCCGUAGGGCCCGGCAGUACCCAGGCUUUUUAGAGGGACAAUCGG